GUUUGUUUUCUAACCUGUGAGUCGCCGCCGGUUAGCCGUGUACCGUGCAAUUUUCAGUGUAUCAUUAAUAUUGGAAUUCGUAGUGGCUGCUUGCAAAUUAAACUAUUUAGUGCAUGCAUUGAACACCGUUAGAGUCAGCUUCGAUACUCUGUGAAUGCUAACUAGAUCUGUCCAACGGUUUCUCGUUUGUUACAUUCACCGGUUAACCAUGCGAUUCCGUGCGUAUCGAUAUUAGAAAAUGUGUAUCAAUACUCGAAAUCGUCGACAGUUCAUGCCACAAGAUAAUGACAGAGAAAACCGGUAGCCAUAAUAAAUGACAAAGUAACCAGUCUGUCCGAACGAGUUUUCAAUGACCGUUAAUUACGCCAACGUAGGAUAAAUGAGAUAUAUACUGAACGUAACAUAAAAUAUAGCUUGAUUCGACAACCUAUUUUCCAUUGUCCUCAAAAUGAAGUGUACGAUAACGCGCUUGAUUCGAGAAUCUAUUUUCCAUUGUCUUCAAAAUGAAGUGUACGAUAAUGCGGUAAGUAUGCUAUUUAUAGAAAACAUUUUUAGCUUCUAACAUGUUUUUCCUCCAAAGAUCUCACGAAUAUUAAUAUUUUGUCUG
This is a long non-coding RNA of Apis cerana (Asiatic honeybee), 607 nucleotides long. RefSeq lists it as uncharacterized. Lineage: Eukaryota; Metazoa; Arthropoda; Insecta; Hymenoptera; Apidae. The record is from RefSeq and is a predicted model, not a curated record.